This 2608-nucleotide long non-coding RNA is filed under the name Sus scrofa (pig). RNAcentral describes it as "lncRNA (ENSSSCG00015013428.1)". Lineage: Eukaryota; Metazoa; Chordata; Mammalia; Artiodactyla; Suidae. The record is from RNAcentral.
GCAAGACAGGAGAGGGAUCUGAUGGGGGCAGCAAAGUAGUGCCCAGUUCACCAUGUCUGGAGAUUUUCUCUAAGUGCUGGAGGCUGGGGAUGCAAAGACAAAGGCGCUUUGUACUUUCAGAAGGGCUGUCAGCUGUUGGGGAAUUCGCGGCGGGGGACCGCCUCUGCCUCCGAGAGAUGCUGCCUUGCCCAUGAGUCACACCCCUGUGGCGGCCCAGUACCUCCGCAGAGCACUGCAGCCCGGAGGGCUUACCUAACCCCUUGAUUUGGAGACAGUGGUUUUACAUUAGAGCUGGACAGGCUUCGGCAGAUACCUGGGCUUCUCCUGAACCGCUGGGAGCAGACCAGACUGAAGAUACCUCGGUGGCAACAUGUAUGGAUUCAUCAACACCUGUCUGCAAUCUCUGGUGAUAGAGAAAUUUGGUGAAGAGACCUGGGAAAAACUAAAAGCUCGUGUGGAUGUGCAAGAUGCCUUCAUGACCUAUACGGUCUAUGAUGAUGUCAUCACCAUUAAGCUCAUCCAAGAGGCCUGCAGUGUUCUUGGUGUCUCCAUGGAAGCCAUUCUGAAACUCUUUGGGGAAUACUUCUUUAAGUUCUGUAAGAUGUCUGGCUAUGACAGGAUGUUACGGACACUGGGAGGAAAUCUCACUGAGUUUAUUGAAAACCUAGAUGCCCUCCACAGCUACCUGGCGCUCUCUUAUCAGGAGAUGAAUGCACCAUCGUUCCGAGUGGAGAGAGCAGCCGAUGAGAAGAUGCUUCUCCAUUACUACUCUGACAGAAGUGGUCUAUGCCACAUCGUGCCAGGUAUCAUUGAGGCUGUGGCCAAAGACUUCUUUGACAUUGAUGUGACCUUGGAGAUCCUUGACGUGCAUCAGGAGGAGGAGAGGACAGCAAAGAAGGAGCACGUUGUGUUUUUGAUUGUACAGAAGUCACACAGACAGAUGAGAAGGGCAAAGCCAAAGGACAGCCAGAGAGACCAAGAGGCGCUGGAGGCAGCUUUCCUUCGGAUGAAAGAGAAGUAUUUGAGUGUCUCCGUUUGCCCUGUGAAGAAGUCCCGCUGGGAAGUUGUGAGACGCAUUGUCAUGUUUGGAAAAAGGCAUCUCAGGAACACCUUUGAACCGAUUUAUCCGGAGCGGCUUUGGAUUGAAGAGAGAACUUUCUGCAAUGCUUUCCCCUUCCACCUUGUGUUUGAUGCGUCACUGCGGGUCAAACAAGCCGGAGUGAAUAUUCAGAAGUACAUCCCGGGACUCCGAACCCCGAAGAUUCGAUUAGACACGUACUUCUCCAUCGUCCAUCCCCCAGUCGCCUUCGACAUUUUCAGCAUCUGCCAGUUCAUCAACAGCCCGUUUGUCCUGAAGGCGCGAGGGGAAAGGUUGCCGGAGGCAGGGAGGAGCCGGCCGCCGCUCAAGCUCCGAGGUCAGAUGAUCUGGAUGGAGUCCACACGGUGCAUGGUGUACCUGUGUUCCCCCAAGCUCCGCAGCCUGGGGGAGCUGGAGGAGCGUCAGAUGCACCUCUCCGACAUCGCCCCCCAUGACACCACCAGGGACCUCAUCCUCCUGAACCAGCAGCGCCUGGCAGAGAUGGAGCUGUCCAACCAGCUGGAGAGGAAGAAGGAGGAGCUGCGGGUCCUCUCCAAGCACCUGGCCAUAGAGAAGAAGAAAACAGAAGCUUUGCUGUACGCCAUGCUGCCCAAACACGUGGCCAACCAGCUGAAGGAGGGCAGGAAGGUGGCUGCAGGAGAAUUUAAGACCUGCACGAUUCUCUUCAGCGAUGUGGUGACAUUCACCACCAUCUGUGCCGCCUGCGAACCUAUCCAGAUAGUGAAUAUGCUAAAUUCAAUGUACUCCAAGUUUGACAGGCUAACCAGCGUCCACGACGUCUACAAAGUGGAAACAAUAGGAGACGCUUAUAUGGUGGUCGGGGGUGUUCCGGUGCCUAUCGGGAGCCAUGCCCAGAGAGUAGCCAACUUCGCCUUGGGGAUGCGGCUUUCUGCGAAAGAAGUCAUGAAUCCUGUUACUGGUGAACCCAUCCAGAUCAGAGUGGGGAUCCACACGGGGCCAGUCUUGGCAGGUGUCGUGGGAGACAAGAUGCCGCGGUACUGCUUGUUUGGUGACACUGUGAACACAGCUUCCAGGAUGGAAAGUCACGGGCUGCCCAACAAAGUGCACCUUAGCCCCACGGCCUACAGAGCCCUGGAAAACCAAGGCUUCGAAAUAACGGAGAGGGGCGAAAUCGAAGUGAAAGGCAAAGGGAAAAUGACCACGUACUUUCUGAUCCGGAACGUGAACGCCUCGGAGGAUGAGCUCAUGGGGAGACCUCGGACUCCGCUCCAUCCCGAGGGGCUUUUCCCAUCAGCCUCUGCUGCGGCUGGGAAUGACCUCAGAGCCUCCCCCUUUGACCCUGAGCCUCAGGGGAGGCUCCAGAACAGGCUUUCUUCACACACUGCAGACUCCCACCUUCCUCACUGUUGGUGUCCAAAAUGGCAAAGGACAGGCUCUGUGAUCUACCUGGCUCCAGGAAUGACAAGAGUGAGUUCAUGUUCAAACAAUCCAGUGCUAAGCCAGUCCAGAGAGCACUACUUUGAUUUAAAUGCAUCACAGUUCAUUUAA